AUUGAACGCUGGCAGCAGGCUUAACACAUGCAAGUCGAGCGGGGGAAGGUAGCUUGCUACCGGACCUAGCGGCGGACGGGUGAGUAAUGCUUAGGAAUCUGCCUAUUAGUGGGGGACAACAUCUCGAAAGGGAUGCUAAUACCGCAUACGUCCUACGGGAGAAAGCAGGGGAUCUUCGGACCUUGCGCUAAUAGAUGAGCCUAAGUCGGAUUAGCUAGUUGGUGGGGUAAAGGCCUACCAAGGCGACGAUCUGUAGCGGGUCUGAGAGGAUGGUCCGCCACACUGGGACUGAGACACGGCCCAGACUCCUACGGGAGGCAGCAGUGGGGAAUAUUGGACAAUGGGGGGAACCCUGAUCCAGCCAUGCCGCGUGUGUGAAGAAGGCCUUAUGGUUGUAAAGCACUUUAAGCGAGGAGGAGGCUACUUUAGUUAAUACCUAGAGAUAGUGGACGUUACUCGCAGAAUAAGCACCGGCUAACUCUGUGCCAGCCGCCGCAGUAA
RNAcentral lists this ribosomal RNA (501 nucleotides) under uncultured bacterium. Its description in RNAcentral is "partial 16S ribosomal RNA". It matches the Rfam family "Bacterial small subunit ribosomal RNA", at positions 30 to 523 of the family's 1533-position model. The record is from RNAcentral.